RNAcentral lists this unclassified non-coding RNA (279 nucleotides) under plant metagenome. RNAcentral describes it as "partial contains small subunit ribosomal RNA, internal transcribed spacer 1, and 5.8S ribosomal RNA". The record is from RNAcentral.
UCUCCGUAGGUGAACCAGCGGAAGGAUCAUUACUGUAUAAAAGAAGCGCGAAGACUGUCGCUGACCCGACAGGUCGUGCACGCGCGAGUGCGCCCACACACAUCCAGCUGACCCCUGGGAGCACCACCGCGUGGGGGCCACUUUGGCUUGUUCGGAGGGGGGCGUACGUUCUCACACAAACUUAGAAUGAAGUGAAGAAUGUAUUCAUUGGUUUUGCUAUCACGCAAUCAAAACAACUUUCAACAACGGAUCUCUUGGCUCUCGCAUAGAUGAAGAACC